AGUAUCUUAGAGAGGCAGAGUCUCUCAAAAGUAAAGAUGGGAUGGAAUCUGGAUGGAAGUAUAUGUUGCUCCAAAACCUGUAUGUACCUUUCAGCAUUGAUGGUGCCUUUCCAGAUGUGCAAGCUGUCCAUUCCAUAGGCACUAAUGCACUCACAUACCAUCAGAGAUGCAGGCUUUUGAACUGAGCGUUGAUAAAAAGCCAGAUGGUCCCUCUCCUCUUUAGUCCUCUUUAGUGGACAUGGUUUCCACUUUAGUUUAGUGGACAUGGUAUCCAUGGUUUGCAAAAAGAAUUUAAAAUUUCGAUUCUUCUGACCACAGUUGUCCACUUUGCCUCGAUCCAUUUUAAAUGAUCUUUGGCACAGAGAAAACGGUGGUGUUUCUGGAUCAUGUCAAUAUAUAGUUUCUUCUUUGCAUGAUUGAGCCUUAACCACCGUUUGUGGAUGGCACGGCGAACUGUGUUCACAGACAGUGAGUUCUGGAGGUGUUUCUGGACCCAUGCAGUGAUUUUCCAUUACAGAAUCAUACCUGUUUUUAAUGCAGUCCAUAGAUCAUGGGUAGGCAAUACGGACUUUUUACUGUUCUUCAGAAUAGAACGUAGAAAACACCAAAUGCUUAAACUGAGUACAUGUACCGUCGAAACUUUGAUUCAAGAGUGACAUUUGCAUCGCUUAAUCAUGCUCAGGCCCUUUAUAGCCCGGUUCACACCAGGACGUUUUUCGCAGUGCGUUAAACGGUGCGUUUUUUGUGUUCACACCCACAUGUUAAAUGUGGGCGACACGCUGAAUGAAAGUGCAAAUUCACUCCCUGACAGUAGAUGGUGCUUAUUGAAAAGCAGUAAUACCCCGGUACAAGGUGGCGCUGCACAACUUUCCAUUUCUGACACUUGCUCUUCACUGAGAAGAAGAAGAGAGCGCCCAAGAAAUAACUGUUCUGUUGAAUGAAGAAAGACGAUGGAAAAGAUGCCGAUAUUGGAUACACCUCAUGUUUAAGAGAAGAGAAGAACAUGGAGAGUUUCACCGACUGACACAAGAGCUGAAGCUGCAUCAUGAAGAUUUUUUUCUCUUUACUUACAAUUUCUCUGUGAACUUGAAUAAAAUUUAAUCCUAUCUAUUGCAUCCAAGUGUCCGUUAUUUUCAUCAAUUAAUACAUAAUAUCUAUAAGCACCAGCUCUCAAU
Long non-coding RNA from Ictalurus punctatus (channel catfish), 1175 nucleotides. NCBI's taxonomy places the organism in Eukaryota, Metazoa, Chordata, Actinopteri, Siluriformes, Ictaluridae. The record is from Ensembl.